Molecule: long non-coding RNA, 1479 nt
Filed under: Salvator merianae (Argentine black and white tegu)
Lineage: Eukaryota; Metazoa; Chordata; Lepidosauria; Squamata; Teiidae
Description: lncRNA (ENSSMRG00000022366.1)
Source: RNAcentral
GCAGUUCAAGAUCCAAGCAAAACGCCCUCCCCUGAAGCCCAGGUAGCCUUUGAAGCCGGAUCUGAAAGCAGGGACAGAUCGCCCUGCCCAGCCUAAUGGGCCACGAAGCCUAAGAAGCUGCCGCUGCACUGACUCGGCUCCAUCCCACGCCCCCCUCCCUCGCUAAGUGGAAGGGCCCUGGGCUGCGGAGCCAGUUCCGUCGAUCACUCCGCCCCGGGCCAAGCGCGGUGACAGCCCAACCUCGGCCAUCCCUAAUCCUGCAACGCACCUUUGUUGGUAUUCUGUAAUUUUUUUUAAGCCACGUGACAGGAGGCUUGACUGCCAGGGGCGUACAUUGCCCAUAACAGCAUCCAGCGACCAGCACAAUCUGGCACUGCGCUCCCCCCCGUGCAAAAACGCAGCGAGGCGCCACCGCCGCCCGCAGGACGCUCCGAGGCUUCUUCGCUGCCGGACAAAAGGCGCAACCGCCGCUCGAUCCAAAACGGAGCCGAGGCGGCGGCGGCGGCGGCUUGACAGAAAGCGGCCUCUCUGCCCGCACGGAGGGCCGGGGAGAAGAUCUACCUACGUCCGGAGAAGGCGUCCGCCAUUUGCCCGCGAUCCGGGUCCUCAGGGCAUUGCCUCUGCGUCCCGGGCACAGCGGCGCGGAUGGCCAGGAAUUCCUGCGCUCUCCCGCGCCAGGAGCCGAGAAUCUCCGAGCGGCGCCCGCGCCAGCCAGGUUGCAAAGGAUUAGCGAAAGAGGGUGUGGACUUCUCCGGCAGCAGCAGCAGCAGCAGCGGCCGAGCCGAGCCAGUAUUUCUGAAGACACCGUGCAUGUGGAUUUGGAGCUCGGGGCAGGCUGGGAAUUGUAGGCAAGGAGGAACACUGGGCGUGAAGGGUUGGAAGUCCCCCUCCCCGCCCGUCCCGUCCUGCAAAAGCAGAGCUCGUUCCCACUUCGUAUUCCGCCUCCGUCCAGGGCGCUACCUUCCGUUGCGCCGCUUUGCCAUCUGCACGCUUGCCCACCUAUACAGCGCAAUUUGAGGAUAUUUGACAGCUUUCCCCAUGCCUUUUUUUUUUUUUAAGAUCUGGAUAGAUUGGCAGAAGAAGGUCACCCACAGCUUCAUAGCUGAAUCCCACGGGACUGGGCACACACUCAAGCCGUAGACACCAUUGACUGCACAGCCCCACAAUUCAGCAAGGAACCAGAGGUGCUGGCCUGGCCGAAGUCAGCUUGAGUUUUGGUUCUCUGCAAUGCUUGUGGCUGUGUGGCCGGCCAUACGUUCACUCCCGCCCACCGCAUGCAUUUCCACAACACCCAGAGGUCAAAUGAAGGAAAAGAGGAGGCCUAAAAGUAUUUUAAUUGGACUCUUGUCAUUCCUCUGGGUGUCCUGAGAUCCAAAAUACUGGUCUGCCCAGACACCCAGAAGCCUGUAAAUUUUUGCAUUGUGGAUGCAGCUUAAGUUUCCUUGUUUAAAGUUGCCAUGCAAACUGCUUGCCCAUAUC